RNAcentral lists this ribosomal RNA (497 nucleotides) under uncultured bacterium. Its description in RNAcentral is "partial 16S ribosomal RNA". It matches the Rfam family "Bacterial small subunit ribosomal RNA", at positions 28 to 507 of the family's 1533-position model. The record is from RNAcentral.
GAUGAACGCUGGCGGCGUGCCUAAUACAUGCAAGUCGAGCGAACAGACGAGGAGCUUUCUCCUCUGACGUUAGCGGCGGACGGGUGAGUAACACGUGGAUAACCUACCUAUAAGACUGGGAUAACUUCGGGAAACCGGAGCUAAUACCGGAUAAUAUAUUGAACCGCAUGGUUCAAUAGUGAAAGACGGUUUUGCUGUCACUUAUAGAUGGAUCCGCGCCGCAUUAGCUAGUUGGUAAGGUAACGGCUUACCAAGGCAACGAUGCGUAGCCGACCUGAGAGGGUGAUCGGCCACACUGGAACUGAGACACGGUCAAGACUCCUACGGGAGGCAGCAGUAGGGAAUCUUACGCAAUGGGCGAAAGCCUGACGGAGCAACGCCGCGUGAGUGAUGAAGGUCUUCGGAUCGUAAAACUCUGUUAUUAGGGAAGAACAAAUGUGUAAGUAACUAUGCACGUCUUGACGGUACCUAAUCAGAAAGCCACGGCUAACUACGUG